Molecule: ribosomal RNA, 628 nt
Filed under: uncultured fungus
Lineage: Eukaryota; Fungi
Description: eukaryotic LSU rRNA
Rfam family: Eukaryotic large subunit ribosomal RNA
Source: RNAcentral
CCCGCUGAACUUAAGCAUAUCAAUAAGCGGAGGAAAAGAAACCAACAGGGAUUACCUCAGUAACGGCGAGUGAAGCGGUAACAGCUCAAAUUUGAAAUCUGGCUCUUUCAGGGUCCGAGUUGUAAUUUGUAGAAGAUGCUUUGGGCGUGGCUCCGGUCUAAGUUCCUUGGAACAGGACGUCAUAGAGGGUGAGAAUCCCGUACGUGACUGGGUGCCUUCGUCCGUGUAAAGCUCUUUCGACGAGUCGAGUUGUUUGGGAAUGCAGCUCAAAAUGGGUGGUAAAUUUCAUCUAAAGCUAAAUAUUGGCCAGAGACCGAUAGCGCACAAGUAGAGUGAUCGAAAGAUGAAAAGCACUUUGGAAAGAGAGUUAAACAGUACGUGAAAUUGUUGAAAGAGAAGCGCUUGCAAUCAGACUUGCGUGCGGUUGAUCAUCCGAGGUUUUCCCCGGUGCACUCGAUCGUACUCAGGCCAGCAUCGGUUUGGGCGGUUGGAUAAAGGCCUUGGGAAUGUGGCUCCUCUCGGGGAGUGUUAUAUAGCCCUCGGUGCAAUGCAGCCUGUCCGGACCGAGGACCGCGCUUCGGCUAGGAUGCUGGCGUAAUGGUUGUAAGCGACCCGUCUUGAAACACGG